Long non-coding RNA from Herpailurus yagouaroundi (jaguarundi), 2419 nucleotides. RefSeq lists it as uncharacterized. The record is from RefSeq and is a predicted model, not a curated record. Lineage: Eukaryota; Metazoa; Chordata; Mammalia; Carnivora; Felidae. The transcript is spliced from 4 exons.
UUCCUCUCCGGGGUUAAUGAUGCUCUGAUUUUUAUUUAUUUUUUUCCUUUGGCUUAGCUUUCUAUGUUCUGGAGAGACUGAAGAGGGGAGUUCCCAGAGCAGUGCAUGGACCAUGGCAGAUACUCAGCAAGAGUGUGUCGCAAGAGUGAAGAGCUCUUGGUGCUGUGGGGGGAGCUGGAGAAAUCAGAGCAACGGAAGACUGUUCUACUCUCUUCAUAGCUCUGAACAACGGUCUGGUCCAAACGUCUGGUCUUCACAGCUAUCCUGAGACCGAUGCUGUUCUUUCUCACCCUUCUUUUCGCAGACUGAGAAACUGAGGCAGAGAGGUUUCAGGUCACAUAAGAACGUGAACUUGUGGGGGGCAGGGCCCUGCAUCACGGAUCUCUGCCCAGCUCAGCCCUGGCUCAAGAAAAGUGAGAAAGACCAGGUUCCCCACUGCGGGUCCCGCCCCUCAGAUGCUACAGACACAGAGUCGGCUUGCUCCCCUUAGAAUAUGGUUCUGGAGGCCCACAGCAUUGCAAAGGCAGAGAAACCGGCGAUCAUUGCCACUGCUGGGCCUUAGACCAUGCCUCUGACUCGAAGUGCCCUUGGGGGUGAAGAGCCUCAGGUUUGGUGUGGCACCAGAAGCUUCGGUUGCUCUUUCUGACCUCAUUUUUCCUGUGCUGCACUGGCCCUUGGAGAUGACCCACUGCUGGGUCUUUCAAUGCUGAGGGAGGUGCCUGGCCUCCCACGUGGGCUGCGACCACGCUCACACAUCAGGUGCCCCUCUCGGUGCUGACUGGGUGCCCUCCUCGUGAGCCCUUCAGUGCGGCUCAGACCAGCCUUUGCAUGAAUCCACUCUGCUUCCUAACUUGGCUGCUACCUGCCAUGUCUCUCCAUAAGCCCAGAUGCCACUGAGUGGCUUGAGACCACAUGCAGCACAGCCGGGCACGCCCCUGCAUCUGUCUCCCAGGCUCCCGGCCUCCACAGAGAACCUAAGUGCCGUGCAAAGCCCACUUUCCAAACAACCGCCAGUCUGGAAUUGGGUGCCACAGCUCACAGCAAUAGAGCAGGUCAGAUCCCUACCCCUUCAAGUAACAGCUGGAGGGAACAACUGUGAAAUCCCCAUCCCUGGGUGAUCUGUUAGAGAAAUUAGGUCACACCUGUGAUAAGGUGCGAUAUGGCCCAUAAAAAAGAAAGUGAAACCCUCUCUUUUAGCCAUAUUGCUGAGUAAAAGCAGAAUGGAAGAGAACCAUGGUAUAUAUGUGAAAACAAAAGACUAGGCAUCUAUUUUCCUUUAUAAUGGAUGUAUUUCCUUAGCUCAGUAUUUCUCGUCAAGGGAAUCUGAUGGAAGGCACUGGAAGUUGGCAAACCUUUUCUGUGAAGGACCAGAUGGUAAAUAUUCUGGGCUUCACGGGCUGGAGGUCUCCAUCGCAGCUCCUUGGGUCUGCUGCUGCAGCCGGAAAGCCAUAGACAAAACGUACAUGGGCAGUGGCUGCAGCCCCAGUGGCACACAGACUUGAAAAGACUUGGCAGAGAAAACCCUUCCAAAAGUCCCUCCAGAGAUGUCCCUCUAGAUCCCUUUGGCCGAGACUAUUCCACAUGGCCUGUUAAGCUAGCUAUGGUACAAGCAGUGGCUUCUGUGACCGCUUCUUGCAGGACUUCCUGAUGAGCUGGGACAGCCUCCUUGUUGUUGCAAACAAGGAUGGGGCCAGCUGGGGCCGCUAGGGCUGGCAAAGAAGUGGGGUGAGUCAACUACACCCCAAACCCUCUUUUCUCUCUUGAUGACUCCCAGCUGGGCCCGGUGUGAACGGCUGAAGCCAUCUGGUUGGUGGCUGUCUUUAAGGGUCACUGGUGGAGGGGGCAGGACCCCUGAAAACGCUUUCUGGGUUUUGGUUUUGGGUGACUGGCCAUUCUCCUGUGGUAAAGCUCCCAGCAUCUCCCUGCUCUCUGACUCUGCUAGCAAACCACACACACCCUCUGUUUCUGUGCAAUGGACUUGCUGUCCUAACCUCGCGGUUACCAGGUUAGUUCAGCUUCGGUGACAGGGACUCCUGCCCGUGUCUGCUCUCACCCUGCCCAUCCACACUGCACCCUGGAGGGUUGUUCCUGAAGGACUUCCUUGCCUGAAACCGAGGUGCCAAGGCAGCGACCGACUCUCUGGUGUGGCAUUCAAGGCCUUUCGUGAUUGGCCUCAUCUCUUUUUCCUGACAUCCUCCUGUGUUUCAACCGUCCUGGAAGCAGGGUCACCUCCUGCCCCCCUUCCCACCUCACACGUCCUGGCCUCUGGGCCUUGCUUGCUCCCUGUGAUCUUCUGGCAGGACAUCCCUCCCUGCCCUCCCCGGGAUGCUCAGUACUUGCUGGGCACAGAAGUCCCUUCUUCAAGAGAAAUCUACAUGGAAUUGCAAUAUGAAAAACAGUAAAAGUGAUUGCUCAUUAU